ACGGAAGGCAGCAGUGGGGAAUAUUGGGCAAUGGGCGCAAGCCUGACCCAGCAACGCCGCGUGAAGGAAGAAGGCUUUCGGGUUGUAAACUUCUUUUAUCAGGGACGAAGAAAGUGACGGUACCUGAUGAAUAAGCCACGGCUAACUACGUGCCAGCAGCCGCGGUAAUACGUAGGUGGCAAGCGUUGUCCGGAUUUACUGGGUGUAAAGGGCGCGUAGGCGGGAUAGCAAGUCAGGUGUGAAAUCCAUGGGCUCAACCCAUGAACUGCACUUGAAACUGUUAUUCUUGAGUGUCGGAGAGGUAGAUGGAAUUCCUAGUGUAGCGGUGAAAUGCGUAGAUAUUAGGAGGAACACCAGUGGCGAAGGCGGCUUUCUGGACAGAAACUGACGUUGAAGCACGAAAGUGUGGGGAGCAAACAGGAUUAGAUACCCUGGUA
The sequence is a ribosomal RNA, 437 nucleotides long. It matches the Rfam family "Bacterial small subunit ribosomal RNA", at positions 341 to 792 of the family's 1533-position model.